GGACGGGUGAGUAACGCGUGGGUAACCUGCCCUAUACACACGGAUAACAUACCGAAAGGUAUGCUAAUACGAGAUAAUAUAAGAGAUUCACAUGGAUUUCUUAUCAAAGCUGAGGCGGUAUAGGAUGGACCCGCGUCUGAUUAGCUAGUUGGUAAGGUAACGGCUUACCAAGGCGACGAUCAGUAGCCGACCUGAGAGGGUGAUCGGCCACAUUGGAACUGAGACACGGUCCAAACUCCUACGGGAGGCAGCAGUGGGGAAUAUUGCACAAUGGGCGAAAGCCUGAUGCAGCAGCGCCGCGUGAGUGAUGAAGGCCUUCGGGUCGUAAAACUCUGUCCUCAGGGAAGAUAAUGACGGUACUUGAGGAGGAAGCCCCGGCUAACUACGUGCCAGCAGCCGCGGUAAUACGUAGGGGGCUAGCGUUAUCCGGAUUUACUGGGCGUAAAGGGUGCGUAGGUGGUCUCUUAAGUCAGGAGUGAAAGGCUACGGCUUAACCGUAGUAAGCUCUUGAAACUGGGAGACUUGAGUGCAGGAGAGGAAAGUGGAAUUCCUA
This 553-nucleotide ribosomal RNA is filed under the name uncultured Clostridium sp. Its description in RNAcentral is "bacterial SSU rRNA". It matches the Rfam family "Bacterial small subunit ribosomal RNA", at positions 100 to 672 of the family's 1533-position model. Lineage: Bacteria; Bacillati; Bacillota; Clostridia; Eubacteriales; Clostridiaceae. The record is from RNAcentral.